UGCCCCAUGGCUGAGUUGGUUACAGCGUCCGACUGUUAUGAUCAAGGAAUGAUUUAAUGGACUGUCCAUAAGUAAAGUAACAUCGGAAGGUCGUGAGUUCGAAACUCACUGGGGCAG
Molecule: non-coding RNA, 117 nt
Organism: Pholiota molesta
Lineage: Eukaryota; Fungi; Basidiomycota; Agaricomycetes; Agaricales; Strophariaceae
Source: the annotation of a GenBank genome assembly